Molecule: ribosomal RNA, 427 nt
Filed under: uncultured bacterium
Lineage: Bacteria
Description: bacterial SSU rRNA
Rfam family: Bacterial small subunit ribosomal RNA
Source: RNAcentral
UGGGGAAUUUUGGACAAUGGGCGCAAGCCUGAUCCAGCAAUGCCGCGUGCAGGAUGAAGGCCUUCGGGUUGUAAACUGCUUUUGUACGGAGCGAAAAGGUCUGCCCUAAUACGGUGGGCUCAUGACGGUACCGUAAGAAUAAGCACCGGCUAACUACGUGCCAGCAGCCGCGGUAAUACGUAGGGUGCGAGCGUUAAUCGGAAUUACUGGGCGUAAAGCGUGCGCAGGCGGUUAUAUAAGACAGAUGUGAAAUCCCCGGGCUCAACCUGGGACCUGCAUUUGUGACUGUAUAGCUAGAGUACGGUAGAGGGGGAUGGAAUUCAGCGUGUAGCAGUGAAAUGCGUAGAUAUGCGGAGGAACGACGAUGGCGAAGGCAAUCCCCUGGACAUGUACUGACGCUCAUGCACGAAAGCGUGGGGAGCAAACA